UGGCUGUCGUCAGCUCGUGUCGUGAGAUGUUGGGUUUAAGUCCCGCAACGAGCGCAACCCCUAUCCCUCAGUUGCCAUCAUUAAGUUGGGCACUCUGUGGAGACUGCCGGUGUCAAACCGGAGGAAGUGGGGAUGACGUCAAGUCCUCAUGGCCCUUAUGACCAGGGCUACACACGUGCUACAAUGGCCAGUACAAAGGGCAGCUACCGGGUGACCGGAUGCUAAUCUCUAAAGCUGGUCUCAGUUCGGAUCGAAGUCUGCAACCCGACUUCGUGAAGCUGGAUUCGCUAGUAAUCGCGCAUCAGCCAUGGCCGCGGUCGAAUACGUUCCCGGGCCUU
RNAcentral lists this ribosomal RNA (338 nucleotides) under uncultured Syntrophus sp. RNAcentral's name for it is "bacterial SSU rRNA". It matches the Rfam family "Bacterial small subunit ribosomal RNA", at positions 1046 to 1382 of the family's 1533-position model. The record is from RNAcentral. Lineage: Bacteria; Pseudomonadati; Thermodesulfobacteriota; Syntrophia; Syntrophales; Syntrophaceae.